AGCGUUAGCGAUGUUAGCUGUUAAUGUUAACUUUUCCAGUAACUAACUUAACCAUCAUGUGGGAUUUUUCGAAUGAUAGUCAAUAUCAUAUCUAGCAAUAAUUCAGUCUGAUAUGUCGUUAUGAAUGUAGAGUUUUAGUUUGAAUGAAAUAUCAGACGCAAGUAGCUUAGCUUAAAGUGGCUGUUACCAUGCAGGCUGAAGGCUGAAGUUAGCUAGCAGACAGACACAGGUGAAAGUUGUUAACGUUAGCAGCUAGUUAGUAACAUUACUUUGCGAACUCCAUGGGGCAUGGGUAGUUAACAUUAAACUUAAUACAUGUAGUGUUGAUGCAUAAUAUGUAGUGUUGCUAUAACUGAAAAGAGGACCAGUAAAACAAAUUAAUGAAGUAGGCUGAUGUGUAAGUUAUCUCACCCCUAAUUUAGGAACUGUAGUUUUGCAUAGUCAUGCUCAUAGAUCCGUCAUAUAGUGGAUGUGAAAGGGGAGCAUUUGGGGAAUUUCAAUUACCAGAAAUAUCAUGCCGAUAAGUAAAGGGAUCUUUAGUUUGUGAAGGGUAGUGUUUGGCUAAAUGGUAUUCAUUUUAUAGCCUUUAUUUGCCCAAUGUUUGGUGACUUAAAUUGAGGCAUGUGUUUAUUUAAGAUGCAUGUGACUGUAGUAGUGCUUCAGUGAUGGUCUUUUCAUGUUCUGUGUGUUUUGCAAUGUAUUAAUUAAUGUAAGCCUCUUUCUGUUCCCUCUGUUAGUAGGUGGUGUGAGGACUGCUGCCCUGAGAACGCUGUGUCAGAGACACUUAGGCUGUGUGCAUUUUGGAAUGUUCCAAAUGUGUGUCACUUCCAUAAGGAAGAAGUUCCAAGCCUGCAAGUGAGUUCACUCACCAAAUAGAGACACACGCAUAUAGCAUUUAAUAUGUGUGCAUGUACUGUAUUUGUGUCUGUAACUGUUUAGUUUAUCCCCUCCUUUCAUGUGUCUGUUAUGACUUUGUGGGCUCAACUGCCAACAACUGUCCAGGGCGAAGUCGGUCUACCCUGAUGGCACUACCUGAUGGCACUACCCUGAUGAUGUCUGUUAGCCAUGGCUGCUGCCCUCAACAUGGUGAGCCAUCCAGAAGUCCCAGCCUGGAGCCAGAGGCUGCUAUUGCAAGUCAGAUGGGAGAUGGCCUACAGUAUGUUAGGCAUCAGAAAAGUGGUGUUCGCAUGAAGGCAGAGUUGCCGCAGGCAAUUAUGAGAUUAGACACUUGACAUUUACUGCGAAAGGUACCAUCAGAGCACCUCUCCCUACCCUGCAGGAUACCUAUACCAGAAGAGUACAACAACGGCCCAAAAGUAUUUCAAAAGACAUUUCACGCUCUGACCACGGACUGUUUAAACCACUGAGGUCAAGCAGACGUCUCUGUUCCCACGUGGCAGACUGAGGGAACACCCACAAAACAGACUGGGGAUGAGUUUCUUUACUCCGCAUCCUGUACACACACAACUCCUUAUACUACAUUACAUAGACUUGCCAGUUGCCAUACUGCACUUACACACACUGCGCUUUUAACCCCCUUAUCUGUGUCAAAUCAGAUAAGGUUGUGGUUGUGUUCAAACCAUGUCUACUGUUGUCUGUCAACAUCCACUUCAGUCAUACAUUUGAAAUGUCUUAAAUAAAUAACAAAAGUUAAAAUUG
This is a long non-coding RNA of Sardina pilchardus (European sardine), 1659 nucleotides long. RefSeq lists it as uncharacterized. NCBI's taxonomy places the organism in Eukaryota, Metazoa, Chordata, Actinopteri, Clupeiformes, Clupeidae. The transcript is spliced from 3 exons. The record is from RefSeq and is a predicted model, not a curated record.